GGUGUAGUUCAGUUGGUUAGAGCACCAGAUUGUGGAUCUGGGUGUCGUGGGUUCGAGUCCCAUUACC
RNAcentral lists this transfer RNA (67 nucleotides) under uncultured Ruthenibacterium sp. It matches the Rfam family "tRNA". Rfam says of the family: Transfer RNA (tRNA) molecules are approximately 80 nucleotides in length. Their secondary structure includes four short double-helical elements and three loops (D, anti-codon, and T loops). The record is from RNAcentral. Lineage: Bacteria; Bacillati; Bacillota; Clostridia; Eubacteriales; Oscillospiraceae.